UCCUAGUUAACCUAGGCAGUCUCAUUAGAGUCCCCACCUCAAAGUGUUGGCAACUAAUGAUAAGGGUUGCGCUCGUUGCGGGACUUAACCCAACACCUCACGGCACGAGCUGACGACAGCCAUGCAGCACCUGUUCAGCAGCCCUUGCGGGAAAAAAUAUUUCUACUUCCGUCUACUGUAUGUCAAGUCUGGGUAAGGUUCUUCGCGUUGCAUCGAAUUAAACCACAUGCUCCACUGCUUGUGCGGGCCCCCGUCAAUUCUUUUGAGUUUCACCCUUGCGAGUGUACUCCCCAGGCGGUAUACUUAUCGCGUUAGCUUCGACACAGUCGGGGUUGAGCCCAACUACAUCAAGUAUACAUCGUUUACGGCAAGGACUAC
RNAcentral lists this unclassified non-coding RNA (378 nucleotides) under uncultured Simkaniaceae bacterium. RNAcentral describes it as "contains 16S-23S intergenic spacer region". The record is from RNAcentral. Lineage: Bacteria; Pseudomonadati; Chlamydiota; Chlamydiia; Parachlamydiales; Simkaniaceae.